RNAcentral lists this ribosomal RNA (840 nucleotides) under uncultured cyanobacterium. RNAcentral describes it as "bacterial SSU rRNA". It matches the Rfam family "Bacterial small subunit ribosomal RNA", at positions 28 to 916 of the family's 1533-position model. Lineage: Bacteria; Bacillati; Cyanobacteriota. The record is from RNAcentral.
AACGAACGCUGGCGGCAGGCCUAACACAUGCAAGUCGAGCGCGCCUUCGGGUGAGCGGCGGACGGGUUAGUAACGCGUGGGAACGUGCCCUUUUCUACGGAAUAGCCUCUGGAAACGGAGAGUAAUACCGUAUACGCCCUUUGGGGGGAAAGAUUUAUCGGAGAAGGAUCGGCCCGCGUUAGAUUAGGUAGUUGGUGGGGUAACGGCCUACCAAGCCUACGAUCUAUAGCUGGUUUUAGAGGAUGAUCAGCAACACUGGGACUGAGACACGGCCCAGACUCCUACGGGAGGCAGCAGUGGGGAAUCUUAGACAAUGGGGGCAACCCUGAUCUAGCCAUGCCGCGUGAGUGAUGAAGGCCUUAGGGUCGUAAAGCUCUUUCGCCUGUGAUGAUAAUGACAGUAGCAGGUAAAGAAACCCCGGCUAACUCCGUGCCAGCAGCCGCGGUAAUACGGAGGGGGUUAGCGUUGUUCGGAAUUACUGGGCGUAAAGCGCGCGUAGGCGGAUUAGAAAGUUGGGGGUGAAAUCCCGGGGCUCAACCUCGGAACUGCCUCCAAAACUGCUAGUCUAGAGUUCGAGAGAGGUGAGUGGAAUUCCGAGUGUAGAGGUGAAAUUCGUAGAUAUUCGGAGGAACACCAGUGGCGAAGGCGGCUCACUGGCUCGAUACUGACGCUGAGGUGCGAAAGUGUGGGGAGCAAACAGGAUUAGAUACCCUGGUAGUCCACACCGUAAACGAUGAAUGCCAGUCGUCGGGUAGUAUACUAUUCGGUGACACACCUAACGGAUUAAGCAUUCCGCCUGGGGAGUACGGUCGCAAGAUUAAAACUCAAAGGAAUUGACGG